This 24-nucleotide non-coding RNA is filed under the name Arabidopsis thaliana (thale cress). Lineage: Eukaryota; Viridiplantae; Streptophyta; Magnoliopsida; Brassicales; Brassicaceae. The record is from RNAcentral.
AUGGCGAUAGCGACAUGAUGGUCA